CAGUCGCCGCGGUAAUACGAAGGGUGCAAGCGUUAAUCGGAAUUACUGGGCGUAAAGCGUGCGUAGGCGGUGAGUUAAGUCUGCUGUGAAAUCCCCGGGCUCAACCUGGGGACCGCGCUUGAUACGGUCGAGCUAGAGGAUGGAAGAGGGUCGUGGAAUUCCCAGUGUAGAGGUGAAAUUCGUAGAUAUUGGGAAGAACACCGGUGGCGAAGGCGGCCAUCUGGGACAACACUGACGCUGAGGCACGAAAGCGUGGGGAGCAAACAGGAUUAGAUACCCGCGUAGUCCCUGUCUCUUAUAA
Molecule: ribosomal RNA, 301 nt
Filed under: uncultured bacterium
Lineage: Bacteria
Description: partial 16S ribosomal RNA
Rfam family: Bacterial small subunit ribosomal RNA
Source: RNAcentral